AACACAUGCAAGUCGAACGCGAACGUUUCCUUUCGGGAAACUAGUAGAGUGGCGCACGGGUGAGUAACGCGUAAGUAACCUGUCCUCGCAUCUGGGAUAACCCACCGAAAGGUGUGCUAAUACCGGAUACGUCUACGAUAAAAUCAUUUUUUGUAGAGAAAGGUGGCCUCUGAUUCAAGCUACUGUGCAGGGAGGGGCUUGCGUACCAUUAGCUAGUUGGUAGGGUAACGGCCUACCAAGGCUAUGAUGGUUAGCGGGUCUGAGAGGAUGAUCCGCCACACUGGAACUGAAACACGGACCAGACUCCUACGGGAGGCAGCAGUGAGGAAUAUUGCGCAAUGGGGGCAACCCUGACGCAGCGACGCCGCGUGGAUGAUGAAGGCCUUCGGGUUGUAAAAUCCUGUCAGAUGGGAAGAAGUGCAUCAUGUUUAACACAUGUGGUGUUUGACGGUACCAUCAAAGGAAGCACCGGCUAACUCCGUGCCAGCAGCCGCGGUAAUACGGAGGGUGCAAGCGUUGUUCGGAAUUACUGGGCGUAAAGCGCGCGUAGGCGGCAAUUUAAGUCAGAUGUGAAAGUCCAUGGCUCAACCAUGGAAGUGCAUUUGAAACUGGGUUACUUGAGUACUGGAGGGGGUAGUGGAAUUCCCGGUGUAGAGGUGAAAUUCGUAGAUAUCGGGAGGAAUACCGGUGGCGAAGGCGACUACCUGGCCAGAUACUGACGCUGAGGUGCGAAAGCGUGGGGAGCAAACAGGAUUAGAUACCCUGGUAGUCCACGCCGUAA
RNAcentral lists this ribosomal RNA (781 nucleotides) under uncultured bacterium. Its description in RNAcentral is "bacterial SSU rRNA". It matches the Rfam family "Bacterial small subunit ribosomal RNA", at positions 50 to 805 of the family's 1533-position model. The record is from RNAcentral.